AGGUCAGAGGGGAUAUUGUAUGUAACUGGUGACAUUUGAAAGAGACAUAUUGGACAGAAAUGACAUACGUGAAAGCUAAGAUACAAUAUAUUUAAUUUUCUAAGAAUUCAGUUCAAGGUAGUCUGCCUGGUUUCUCAAGUUCUGCAUGUUUCUUCAGUAGACUAAAUAAUGAUAAGGAAGCUGAGAUGUAGAGCUGAAGUGUCUUGCCCAAGAUCAUUUGUCUAGUUCUUCCUUAUGCCAGUCCACCAAGAAUACCUGCUUAAAGGCCAGCUGCAGCUCCUGUUCCACUUCCUUUCUUGUACUGCUGAACAUCCAGAUAGAGGCAUUGACAUGCAUGGUUUCCAACUGAUCACUUCCUACUCCCUUAAGGACCUCCUGUCAGGCAGUUUUGCUAAUUUCUUUAAUAUCAGAAGACAGCUGGAUUCUCAUUUCUGCUUCUGCAUUCAGUCUAUUGUGAUAUAGCAUAUCAUGUAACUUCUGAAAAACUUCACUGUACACAGAUGCUGACCUCACAGACUCCCUGAAAGGAUCUCCAUGACCUCUAUGGUUCCUUAGACUGCACUUUGAGAACUAUUGACGUACAGGGAAAAAUGCUCUUGGUGUUCCAGUUAAGCACAGAAUAAAAUCUGGACUGUGUCAGUUUGUAAAGAUCUUAUGUCUACUUGGUCAUCAGCCAAGAAGGGAUUCCGAAGAUAGAAGAGGAGGCAUCAACACCGUGAACAUCAUGGCUGAGUUAUUUUGUGAGAGGGAUAAGCCUAAAGUAAAAACCUUGGAUUUGCCUCUGUCCUUGAACAUGCUAUCUGGAAAGAGUUUUCUUAAAAGUAUUGUUGUGAACACAUCCAUUUUCCCAGUAUAGUUGAAUGCAGGGUUUAAUAAAUGGAAUGAAUCUA
This 890-nucleotide long non-coding RNA is filed under the name Homo sapiens (human). RNAcentral's name for it is "novel transcript". Lineage: Eukaryota; Metazoa; Chordata; Mammalia; Primates; Hominidae. The record is from RNAcentral.